UUAGCUAGUUGGUGAGGUAACGGCUCACCAAGGCGACGAUGCGUAGCCGACCUGAGAGGGUGAUCGGCCACACUGGGACUGAGACACGGCCCAGACUCCUACGGGAGGCAGCAGUAGGGAAUCUUCCGCAAUGGACGAAAGUCUGACGGAGCAACGCCGCGUGAGCGAAGAAGGUCUUCGGAUUGUAAAGCUCUGUUGU
Molecule: ribosomal RNA, 199 nt
Filed under: uncultured Anoxybacillus sp.
Lineage: Bacteria; Bacillati; Bacillota; Bacilli; Caryophanales; Anoxybacillaceae
Description: partial 16S ribosomal RNA
Rfam family: Bacterial small subunit ribosomal RNA
Source: RNAcentral